GGUACCGUCAGGCCUAACGUGUAUUAUACGUUAGGAGGUUCUUCCCCUCUGACAGAGCUUUACGACCCAAGGGCCUUCAUCACUCACGCGGUAUUGCUGCGUCAGGCUUUCGCCCAUUGCGCAAAAUUCCCCA
RNAcentral lists this ribosomal RNA (133 nucleotides) under uncultured bacterium. Its description in RNAcentral is "partial 16S ribosomal RNA". The record is from RNAcentral.